GGGCUACUCUCUAUUGGCAUACGGUUAUAUGUUCAUCACAUAUUUCAGCUGAUACGCCAAAGGAGAGCUGCCCUG
This is a non-coding RNA of Solanum tuberosum (potato), 75 nucleotides long. NCBI's taxonomy places the organism in Eukaryota, Viridiplantae, Streptophyta, Magnoliopsida, Solanales, Solanaceae. The record is from RefSeq and is marked provisional.